UCGGGAAUUUUGGGCAAUGGGGGAAACCCUGACCCAGCAACGCCGCGUGAAGGAUGAAGUAUUUCGGUAUGUAAACUUCGAAAGAAUAGGAAGAAUAAAUGACGGUACUAUUUAUAAGGUCCGGCUAACUACGUGCCAACAGCCGCGGUAAUACGUAGGGACCAAGCGUUGUUCGGAUUUACUGGGCGUAAAGGGCGCGUAGGCGGCAUGACAAGUCACUUGUGAAAUCUCUGGGCUUAACCCAGAACGGCCAAGUGAUACUGUCGCGCUAGAGUGCAGAAGGGGCAAUCGGAAUUCUUGGUGUAGCGGUGAAAUGCGUAGAUAUCAAGAGGAACACCUGAGGUGAAGACGGGUUGCUGGGCUGACACUGACGCUGAGGCGCGAAAGCCAGGGGAGCAAACGGGAUUAGAUACCCAUGUAGUCCCUGAGCGGGCUGGCAAGGCGCAU
Molecule: ribosomal RNA, 447 nt
Filed under: uncultured bacterium
Lineage: Bacteria
Description: bacterial SSU rRNA
Rfam family: Bacterial small subunit ribosomal RNA
Source: RNAcentral